Molecule: ribosomal RNA, 726 nt
Filed under: Pseudomonas anguilliseptica
Lineage: Bacteria; Pseudomonadati; Pseudomonadota; Gammaproteobacteria; Pseudomonadales; Pseudomonadaceae
Description: bacterial SSU rRNA
Rfam family: Bacterial small subunit ribosomal RNA
Source: RNAcentral
UCGAGCGGUAUAAGAAGCUUGCUUUUCUUGAGAGCGGCGGACGGGUGAGUAAUGCCUAGGAAUCUGCCUAGUGGUGGGGGAUAACGUUCGGAAACGGACGCUAAUACCGCAUACGUCCUACGGGAGAAAGCGGGGGAUCUUCGGACCUCGCGCCAUUAGAUGAGCCUAGGUCGGAUUAGCUAGUUGGUGAGGUAAUGGCUCACCAAGGCGACGAUCCGUAACUGGUCUGAGAGGAUGAUCAGUCACACUGGAACUGAGACACGGUCCAGACUCCUACGGGAGGCAGCAGUGGGGAAUAUUGGACAAUGGGCGAAAGCCUGAUCCAGCCAUGCCGCGUGUGUGAAGAAGGUCUUCGGAUUGUAAAGCACUUUAAGUUGGGAGGAAGGGCAGUAACCUAAUACGUUAUUGUUUUGACGUUACCGACAGAAUAAGCACCGGCUAACUUCGUGCCAGCAGCCGCGGUAAUACGAAGGGUGCAAGCGUUAAUCGGAAUUACUGGGCGUAAAGCGCGCGUAGGUGGUUCAGUAAGUUGGAAGUGAAAUCCCCGGGCUCAACCUGGGAACUGCUUUCAAAACUGCUGAGCUAGAGUACGGUAGAGGGUGGUGGAAUUUCCUGUGUAGCGGUGAAAUGCGUAGAUAUAGGAAGGAACACCAGUGGCGAAGGCGACCACCUGGACUGAUACUGACACUGAGGUGCGAAAGCGUGGGGAGCAAACAGGAUUAGAUA